RNAcentral lists this ribosomal RNA (446 nucleotides) under uncultured bacterium. RNAcentral describes it as "bacterial SSU rRNA". It matches the Rfam family "Bacterial small subunit ribosomal RNA", at positions 29 to 524 of the family's 1533-position model. The record is from RNAcentral.
AACGAACGCUGGCGGCAGGCCUAACACAUGCAAGUCGAACGCACCGCAAGGUGAGUGGCGCACGGGUGAGUAACACGUGGGAAUGUACCCUUUGGUUCGGAAUAACGUUUGGAAACGAACGCUAAUACCGGAUGAGCCCUGCGGGGGAAAGAUUUAUCGCCAAAGGAGCAGCCCGCGUCUGAUUAGCUAGUUGGUGGGGUAAAGGCCUACCAAGGCGACGAUCAGUAGCUGGUCUGAGAGGAUGAUCAGCCACACUGGGACUGAGACACGGCCCAGACUCCUACGGGAGGCAGCAGUGGGGAAUAUUGGACAAUGGGCGCAAGCCUGAUCCAGCCAUGCCGCGUGAGUGAUGAAGGCCUUCGGGUUGUAAAGCUCUUUCGCACGCGACGAUGAUGACGGUAGCGUGAGAAGAAGCCCGGCUAACUCGUGCCAGCAGCCGCGGUAAU